UUAUACAGAGAAUUGAUUGCGUCUGGGAUCAAAUUUCCACAAAAAUAUCUUUGGAAAAUUAAAGUUCCUGCUAAGAUAAAGGUAUUCCUGUGGCUAGUGAAUAAAAAGAGCAUCCUGACUAGGGAUGUUUUACUCAAAAAAGGGUGGAAAGGAGGGAAAGAAUGUGUGUUUUGUGGACAAAAUGAAUCUAUUGAUCAUCUGUUGUUCACUUGCUCUGCGGCAUCUUUGCUGUGGAAUUUGGUCAAGUGCGUUUGUAAUCUGAAAUCUAGUCCUUUAAGUGUAAAUGAGUGUUUUGGGGGGUGGAUUAAUAAAUUCAAUAAAGAGGACAAGAAAAUGGUGAUGAUAGGGGUAUCUGCUUUAUUCUGGGCUAUUUGGAAAAGUAGAAAUGCAAUUGUCUUUGAGAGAAAAAGGAUUAAUGAUCCUUUACAGAUUAUCAAGCUAAUGGUUCGAUGGUUGCUUGAUUGGUCCAUUUUGCAGACAAAGGAGCCGCCAAAAAAAAUGCUGGAACUGGGGACAAGAGUGCUAGAACGGGCAGCAAGUGAAGUGUAUGCCGCUGGGCAGGGAUGGCGAAUCAAUGUGGCAAGGCUUCUCCCUGGAUGA
This 600-nucleotide ribosomal RNA is filed under the name Triticum aestivum (bread wheat). Its description in RNAcentral is "partial small subunit ribosomal RNA". Lineage: Eukaryota; Viridiplantae; Streptophyta; Magnoliopsida; Poales; Poaceae. The record is from RNAcentral.